This 406-nucleotide ribosomal RNA is filed under the name uncultured bacterium. Its description in RNAcentral is "partial 16S ribosomal RNA". It matches the Rfam family "Bacterial small subunit ribosomal RNA", at positions 30 to 526 of the family's 1533-position model. The record is from RNAcentral.
AUUGAACGCUGGCGGCAGGCCUAACACAUGCAAGUCGAACGAGUGGCGGACGGGUGAGUAAUGUCUGGGAAACUGCCUGAUGGAGGGGGAUAACGACUGGAAACGGUAGCUAAGAACGCAGACCAUGCGAUGUGCCCAGAUGGGAUUAGCUUGUUGGUUGGGUAACUGCUCACCAAGGCGACGAGCCCUAGCUGGUCUGAGAGGAUGACCAGCCACACUGGAACGUAGACACGGUCCAGACUCCUACGGGAGGCAGCAUUGGGGAAUAUUGCACAAUUGGCGCAAGCCUGAUGCAGCCAUGCCGCGUGUAUGAAGAAGGCCUUCGGGUUGUAAAGUACUUUCAGCGGGGAGGCGUUACCCGCAUCUGAAGCACCGGCUAACUCCGUGCCAGCAGCCGCGGUAAUAC